CAGUCGCCACGGGAAUACAGAGGGUGCGAGCGUUAAUCGGAUUUACUGGGCGUAAAGCGUGCGUAGGCGGCUUUUUAAGUCGGAUGUGAAAUCCCUGAGCUUAACUUAGGAAUUGCAUUCGAUACUGGGAAGCUAGAGUAUGGGAGAGGAUGGUAGAAUUCCAGGUGUAGCGGUGAAAUGCGUAGAGAUCUGGAGGAAUACCGAUGGCGAAGGCAGCCAUCUGGCCUAAUACUGACGCUGAGGUACGAAAGCAUGGGGAGCAAACAGGAUUAGAUACCCCUGUAGUCCCUGUCUCUUAUAU
RNAcentral lists this ribosomal RNA (301 nucleotides) under uncultured bacterium. Its description in RNAcentral is "partial 16S ribosomal RNA". It matches the Rfam family "Bacterial small subunit ribosomal RNA", at positions 509 to 809 of the family's 1533-position model. The record is from RNAcentral.